CAGUGAUAAACUGGAGGAAGGUGGGGAUGACGUCAAGUCAUCAUGGCCCUUACGACCAGGGCUACACACGUGCUACAAUGGCGCAUACAAAGAGAAGCGACCUCGCGAGAGCAAGCGGACCUCAUAAAGUGCGUCGUAGUCCGGAUUGGAGUCUGCAACUCGACUCCAUGAAGUCGGAAUCGCUAGUAAUCGUGGAUCAGAAUGCCACGGUGAAUACGUUCCCGGGCCUUGUACACACCGCCCGUCACACCAUGGGAGUGGGUUGCAAAAGAAGUAGGUAGCUUAACCUUCGGGAGGGCGCUUACCACUUUGUGAUUCAUGACUGGGGUGAAGUCGUAACAAGGUAACCGUAGGGGAACCUGCGGUUGGAUCACCUCCUUA
Molecule: ribosomal RNA, 381 nt
Filed under: Escherichia coli
Lineage: Bacteria; Pseudomonadati; Pseudomonadota; Gammaproteobacteria; Enterobacterales; Enterobacteriaceae
Also listed under: 124 other names
Description: bacterial SSU rRNA
Rfam family: Bacterial small subunit ribosomal RNA
Source: RNAcentral